CCUACGGGUGGCAGCAGUGAGGAAUAUUGGUCAAUGGGCGCUAGCCUGAACCAGCCAAGUAGCGUGAAGGAUGACUGCCCUAUGGGUUGUAAACUUCUUUUAUAUGGGAAUAAAGUGCAGUAUGUAUACUGCUUUGCAUGUACCUUAUGAAUAAGGAUCGGCUAACUCCGUGCCAGCAGCCGCGGUAAUACGGAGGAUGCGAGCGUUAUCCGGAUUUAUUGGGUUUAAAGGGUGCGUAGGCGGGCUUUUAAGUCAGCGGUAAAAAUUCGGGGCUCAACCCCGUCCGGCCGUUGAAACUGGGGGCCUUGAGUGGGCGAGAAGAAGGCGGAAUGCGUGGUGUAGCGGUGAAAUGCAUAGAUAUCACGCAGAACCCCGAUUGCGAAGGCAGCCUUCCGGCGCCCUACUGACGCUGAGGCACGAAAGUGCGGGGAUCGAACAGGAUUAGAUACCCCUGUAGUC
This 459-nucleotide ribosomal RNA is filed under the name uncultured bacterium. RNAcentral's name for it is "partial 16S ribosomal RNA". It matches the Rfam family "Bacterial small subunit ribosomal RNA", at positions 338 to 795 of the family's 1533-position model. The record is from RNAcentral.